RNAcentral lists this ribosomal RNA (449 nucleotides) under uncultured bacterium. Its description in RNAcentral is "partial 16S ribosomal RNA". It matches the Rfam family "Bacterial small subunit ribosomal RNA", at positions 29 to 523 of the family's 1533-position model. The record is from RNAcentral.
AACGAACGCUGGCGGCAGGCUUAAUACAUGCAAGUCGAACGCCCCUUUCGGGGGGAGUGGCAGACGGGUGAGUAACGCGUGGGAACGUGCCCAAAGGUAGGGAACAACUCCGGGAAACUGGAGCUAAUACCCUAUGUGCCCGAGAGGGGAAAGAUUUAUCGCCUUUGGAUCGGCCCGCGUUGGAUUAGCUAGUUGGUGGGGUAAAAGCCUACCAAGGCGACGAUCCAUGGCUGUUCUGGGAGGAAGAUCAGCCACACUGGGACUGAGACACGGCCCAGACUCCUACGGGAGGCAGCAGUAGGGAAUCUUGGACAAUGGGCGCAAGCCUGAUCCAGCCAUGCCGCGUGAGUGAUGAAGGCCUUAGGGUUGUAAAACUCUUUCGCAGGUGACGAUAAUGACGGUAACCUGAGAAGAAGCCCCGGCUAACUUCGUGCCAGCCGCCGCCGUAA